RNAcentral lists this ribosomal RNA (326 nucleotides) under uncultured eukaryote. Its description in RNAcentral is "partial 18S ribosomal RNA". It matches the Rfam family "Eukaryotic small subunit ribosomal RNA", at positions 1470 to 1796 of the family's 1831-position model. The record is from RNAcentral.
CCCUUAGAUGUUCUGGGCCGCACGCGCGCUACACUGAUGCAUUCAGCGAGUCCAUCCUUGCCCGAAAGGGCUGGGUAAUCUUUUGAAAUUGCAUCGUGAUGGGGCUUGCGGGUUGCAACUACCCGCACCAACGAGGAAUUCCUAGUAAACGCAAGUCAACAACUUGCAUUGAUUACGUCCCUGCCCUUUGUACACACCGCCCGUCGCUCCUACCGAUUGAAUGGUCCGGUGAAGCGUUUGGACUAUGGUUUUCUGAUGGUCCGCCGUUGGAUUACCGUGGGAAGUUCGUUAAACCUUAUCAUUUAGAGGAAGGAGAAGUCGUAACA